AUGUUGCAAGGCGGCGUCUGGUGCAUGCAUACCUCGGCCACAACACAACUCCCUCAUACGCUGCCGGCACUGAAAGCUGUGCUUGUUGAUGAUAAAAUUUAUAUGGCUGACGUCCUCAGUAAUGACAUUAUUGUCUUGGAUUUGGCGACCUCGAGUUUUUCCAGAAUUCUGCUCCCACAAGGAGUGAAGUAUCACACUCUUCAUGCCAUCUUGUCUCCGGCUGAUGAUGCUUCCGGUCUAUAUCUCAUCCAUGUCCAUGUCAAGGAGCAUCAACUUUGCAUCUGGCUCCACAAGGGGGACAACUGGUUGCUGGUCGAUACCCUUUGUUUGCAUCAGAUGUGGGCUAAUUUGAGGAUGCGAGAUCACACGCUCGAGGACGAGGAUAUUAGUUACGCCUAUAUAAGCCAGGUGGGAGAUAAUGUUCAGUUUGUGUUCUUGAAGACAAUGUGUGGAUGCAUACUCUAUCUGGACGUCACUAGCAGGACACUACAUAAAGUGCAUGGGAUGACAGAAAAGGAUCGACAUUUCAGUGCUAUCUAUCCUUUUAUGAUGAUUUGGCCGCCCAUAUUCCCUGCGCUCAAGGAUGAUCAAGCAAGGCAGGGGAGUUGGGUGGAAAUGGGUCAACCUGAAACUGUAAGCACAUGA
This 645-nucleotide ribosomal RNA is filed under the name Triticum aestivum (bread wheat). RNAcentral's name for it is "partial small subunit ribosomal RNA". The record is from RNAcentral. Lineage: Eukaryota; Viridiplantae; Streptophyta; Magnoliopsida; Poales; Poaceae.